RNAcentral lists this ribosomal RNA (253 nucleotides) under uncultured bacterium. Its description in RNAcentral is "partial 16S ribosomal RNA". It matches the Rfam family "Bacterial small subunit ribosomal RNA", at positions 524 to 776 of the family's 1533-position model. The record is from RNAcentral.
UACAGAGGAGCCAAGCGUUGUCCGGAUUGACUGGGCGUAAAGCGCACGCAGGCGGUCGCGCGCGUGGGGUGGGAAAUCUGGCCGCUUAACGGCCAGGCGCCAUCCCAUACGGCGCGACUCGAGCCAUGCAGAGGGCGGUGGAAUUGCCGGUGUAGUGGUGAAAUGCGUAGAGAUGUGGAGGAACACCGAUGGCGAAGGCAGCCCCCUGGGUCAACACUGACGCUCAUGCACGAAAGCGUGGGGAGCAAACAGG